UACACACCGCCCGUCACACCAUGGAAGUUGGUUCUACCUUAAGCCGAUGUGCGAACCGCAAGGACGCAGUCGACCACGGUCGGGUCAAUGACUGGGGUG
RNAcentral lists this ribosomal RNA (99 nucleotides) under uncultured bacterium. Its description in RNAcentral is "partial 16S ribosomal RNA". It matches the Rfam family "Bacterial small subunit ribosomal RNA", at positions 1384 to 1482 of the family's 1533-position model. The record is from RNAcentral.